CGUAGGAGCGGGCUUGCUCGCGAUGCAAACGACUCGGUUUGUCAGACGCACCGGGCAGACACUAUCGCGAGCAAGCCCGCUCCCACA
This 87-nucleotide non-coding RNA is filed under the name Pseudomonas psychrophila. Lineage: Bacteria; Pseudomonadati; Pseudomonadota; Gammaproteobacteria; Pseudomonadales; Pseudomonadaceae. The record is from RNAcentral.